GUGCUCACUUCGGGAGCACAUAUACUAAAACUGGAAUGAUAUAGAGAAAAUUAGCAUGGCCCCUAUGCAAGGAUGACAAGAAAAUUCAUGAAAAAUUCCAUAUUUUU
Molecule: small nuclear RNA, 107 nt
Organism: Budorcas taxicolor (takin)
Lineage: Eukaryota; Metazoa; Chordata; Mammalia; Artiodactyla; Bovidae
Source: RefSeq, a predicted model, not a curated record